Molecule: RNA transcript, 6911 nt
Organism: Cercocebus atys (sooty mangabey)
Lineage: Eukaryota; Metazoa; Chordata; Mammalia; Primates; Cercopithecidae
Gene name: histone deacetylase 3 pseudogene
Exons: 2
Source: RefSeq, a predicted model, not a curated record
AAAAAUUAAAAAAACACUCUGAGGUUCUUUGGUCUCUGCUGUGGCCACAUUUCUCUAUUCAUUUCCCUUGACUUCCCUCUCAGAAGAUGACAAGCAUGGGAAUUCAGUUAUUUACCACAAAAUCAUUUAGCAAAUCAUUAAGGCAAUCCUAAAACAGAAAAAAUGUAGUUCUUUUGUUCCCUAGGGAAUAGUGACAUCAACAAUAUCAGGACCAAAUUAGAUUAUAUCAAAAGCCAUAGCAAACAUUUUCCUGGGCCAGGCACUGCACUAAGCACUUUAUAUGCAUUAUUCUAUGUAACCCUUACAAAUCUAUUCAUAUUACUAUUCAUAUGCCCAUUCUACAGAUUAGAAAUAAAGGCUAAAAAAGGUUCAGUAACUCACCCAGAGGUUCACAGCUAAUAAAUGCCAGAUCUGACCCUGAAGCUUCAGAGUGCCUGACCCCACAGACUAUGCCUUUAACCACUAACUACUUUGCCUCCUUAUAGUCUUAAAUAAUGCAAGAUUGGAGGGGCUGGCAGCAGGUGGUGGAGGCGUGGGGCCUGCUCCCGCUAGCGCCAUGGCCAAGACCGUGGCCUAUUUCUACGACCCUGACGUGCACAACUUCCACUACGGAGCUGGACACCCUAUGAGGCCCCAUCACCUGGCAUUGACCCAUAGCCUGGUCCUGCAUUACGGUCUCUAUAAGAUGAUCCUCAGUGUUUUCCGGACAAGAUCUGUGAUAUUGCCAUUAACUGGGCUGGUGGUCUGCACCAUGCCAAGAAGUUUGAGGUACCACCCUCAGGUGCUUUACAUUGAUAUUGACAUCCACCAUGGUGACGGGGUUCAGGAAGCUUUCUACCUCACCGACCAGGUCAUAACGGUGUUCUUCCACAAAUAGGGAAAUUACUUCUUCCCUGGCACAGGUGACAUGUAUGAAGUCGGGGCAGAGAGUGGCCACUACUACUGUCUGAAUGUGCCCCUGCGGGAUGGCAUUGAUGACCAGAGUUACAAAUACCUUUUCCAGCCAGUUAUCAACCAGGUAGUGGACUUCUACCAACCCACAUGCAUUGUGCUCCAGUGUGGAGCUGACGCUCUGGGCUGUGAUCGAUUGGGCUGCUUUAACCUCAGCAUCCGAGGGCAUGGGGAAUGUGUGGAAUAUGUCAAGAGCUUCAAUAUCCCUCUACCGGUGCUGGGUGGUGGUGGUUAUACUGUCCGAAAUGUUGCCCGCUGCUGGACAUAUGAGACAUCGCUGCUGGUAGAAGAGGCCAUUAGUGAGGAGCUUCCCUAUAGUGAAUACUUCGAGUACUUUGCCCCAGACUUCACACUUCAUCCAGAUGUCAGCACCCGCAUCGAGAAUCAGAACUCACGCCAGUAUCUGGACCAGAUCCGCCAGACAAUCUUUGAAAACCUGAAGAUGCUGAACCAUGCACCUAGUGUCCAGAUUCAUGACGUGCCUGCAGACCUCCUGACCUAUGACAGGACUGAUGAGGCUAAUGCGGAGGACAGGGGUCCUGAGGAGAACUAUAGCAGGCCAGAGGCACCCAAUGAGUUCUGUGAUGGAGACCAUGACAAUGACAAGGAAAGCGAUGUGGAGAUUUAAGAGUGGCUUGGGAUGCUGUGUCCCAAGGAAUUUCUUUUCACCUCUUGGUUGGACUGGAGGGAAAAGGAGUGGCUCCUAGAGUCCUGGAGUGGUCACCCCAGGGCUUUUGCUGACUCUGGGAAGGAGUCUGGAGACCACAUUUGGUUCUCGAACCAUCCACCCCCUUUUCCUCUCUCUCCCAAGGCCUGACAAUGGUACCUAUUAGGGAUGAGAUACGGACAAGGAUAGCUAUAUGGGACAUUAUUGUCAGUGGGCCCUGGAGGUCAGUCCCUAGCCCCCCUUGUCCCUUAUUUCUUCUCUGCUUCACUCCAACCCAGAGAUUUUGAGGGACGAAUGGGUAGACAAGGACUGAGAUUGUCUCUGACUUCCUCCUCCCCUUGCUUCCAGGGAAGAUGAAGAGAGAGGGAUUUGGCAGGCGCUAUGGCUCCCUAACACCUGAAUCCCAGAUGAUAGGAAGUAUGUUUUCAAGUGUGGGGAGGAUAUGAAAAUGUUCUGUUCUCACUUUUGGCUUUAUGUUCAUUUUACCACUGUUUUGAUCCAAAAACUAAGUCAGUAAUUUUUGUAAAAAUAAAAUAAUAAUAAUAAUAAUAAUGCAAGAUGAGUACUUAAAGCAAACAGGGUACCCAGGCUUGGGUCUGCAGGUAGGGGUAGAAAAUCCAGACCAGAAAGCCAGGAAUGGCUGCAACACUACUCAGAGCAGUAGCAGGAAUCUCCCUAUGCCUCAGGGUGUGCCUCUAAGAAAUGGCUACAACCCAUAGCUCUGGCCAGGUAGCCAGGAACCAGAGAGGAGAAGGAAUCUAGUGAGGUCCUGAGAAAAGUGAGUAUUUGGGAAGAGUCUAUGAAGGAAGAGGAAUCGGGCUGUGGUGGGCCCACUCGUACCCCUUCAUGACCUCAGCCUUGCAAUGGGGUGUUUUAUAGAUGACUAACCCCAUGUCAAGGGCAGCUGCUUUCACUGGGCCUAUGAUUGUAUCCUCAUAAUAAGCCCUGACACAGAAGUCUCUGGAUGAAGAGGAGAUAUCAGCAGGUGAUUCUACCACUCCCUUUAUUACCUGUCCAGGGCAAUGCUAAGCAACACCAGCCAUCACCAUCUAGCUCUCCGCUCCAACCUUCAGCAACCACUCAAUUACCCAACAGAUAUAACACUGAGCACCUACUAUGUGCAGGUACUGUGAGGGGUGCCAGAGUUACAGCAUAGAGCAAAGCAAAGAUCCUUCGUGGAACUUACAUUUCAUAUGAUUCUAUUUAUAUAAAAUGUCCAGAAAAGGCAAAUACAUAGAGACACAAAUUAUAUCAGUAGUAGACUAGGGCCAGGGAGAUUGGGGGGAAAUGGGAGUCACUGUUAAUAAGUACAGGUUUCUUCUGAAGGUGAUGAAAGUCUUCUAAAAUUAAUUGUGACAAUUAUUGCACAACUCUAUGAAUAUACCAAAACCCAGAGAAUUAUACACUUUAAGUAAAUUUUAUGGUAUGUGAACUAUAUAUCAAUAAAGCUGUCGAAUUAACAAAAAUAAUAAGGACCAAAAACCAGAACUUUGCAUCUCAAGCUCUGCUCUAUGCUAUUGCCACAGUACCAGGUGCUUUCUGUAUAUAAGGAAGAACAUGAAAGCUUCCCAAUGAGGCUAAAAAAAAAUAAACUAUUCGGAAAGACUUUUAAGUGCCCAACCUAUUUACUAAUGUGCCCCUUAAAAUGUUAGGCACAUCAGAGAUUAUUACGUGACUAAAGAUAGGCUAAAUUAUGCUGUGGUAACAAGCCCCAAAUCUCAGUAGCUAAAUAACAAGUUGAUUUUGCAUUUAUGCUACAUCCAUUUAGGGCUGGCUGAGGCUGUUUCCUCUCCAACUUGCCCAGACUGACACAGCAACCACCAUCUGGAGCUUUGCCAGUCUCCACAGCAGAGGGCAAGAGGGAUCUGGAGUGUCACACACUGGUGACUGAGCGACUCAGCCCAAAAUUGAUAUAGCAUACUUCUCUCAACAUGGCUAGAAGUAGUCACAUGGCUCCAAAAACACAAGGAGGCCAGGAAACACAAGCCCAUCACAUGCCUGGAAAACAGAAAGCUUUGAAAAGCCAGUAAACAGUGCUAAUGUUUGCACAGGCGAUUAAGGUAUAGUGUGGUUAAGAAUGUGAAUUGGGAAGUCAGCAUACUUGGCUUAAAUCCCAAUGCUAUCACUCACUAUCUAGACAUCACCACAUUACUUGGGAGAAGUUAACUUGACCUCUUUGGGCCUCAGUUUCCUCAUCCAUAAAAUGAGGAAAGUAAUGGUAUUCACCUCAUAGGUCUGUUAGAAGAUUAAAGAGGAUUUCUAUCUGUAAGGAAUGGAGAACAGAACCUGGCAAGUGCUAAUGCCAUAAGUAUCAUAUAACCUUUAUUAUUUUGAAAAAAAAAAUAAAGGCAAUGUUGUUUUAUCUGUGUAAUAUAAUGAAUUGGCACUGUGUGAAGUAUCACUCUACAGAAUCCAACACAUACAAAGUAGGCAUAAAAUAAACUGCAGCCCUUAGUAACAGAAAACCAGGACUUCCACGUCUUACUUAGCCCGCCCUUGAACUAGUUGUCCGGUCCCUUGGCUUCAUGUUUCGUUCUUAUCUUUAAGUGAAGGCUCUCCAGCACUAAAAGCUUGGAAUUCUUUAUUCAUGGGUCAUUGACUUGGCCCACUGUGGUCCUUUCAUUGUUUGCUCUCUGUUCUUUGCCAAUAAAGGAUGGUCCUCCCCUUCAAAUCAAGGGAGCACCAAGACAUUCCCUAGCUGGUUCCAAAAGGCAAACCUCACCUGGAUGGGCCCCUCUGGGCAAGCCGACCCUAGCCCACUUUCUGCAAGCAAGCCAUCAGGAAGCAGCCAGGAGAGAGGCAGGUCACUGGUGCACUUCAAAGGAAGCGCCCGCCUCCCAGGGAGAGUGGGGAGGGUGCACAGUCGCCCAGAGGGAGGGCAGCUGGCCUCCACCCAGAGCCCUGGUGAGUUGUCUCCUCCCAUCCCUGUGCAAGAGCUUCAUGGCCCUCAACAAACAGCUCCAUACACCUUUUAGAAGCACCCUCCUCACCUGUACCUUCCCUCCUUGGCCCAGGUGGGUACUGCACCUCUGUGUUGGGGGAGUCCUUGGGGUUUAUGGAGAGCCGAACAUUCCCACAGAUCUGUUGUCUAGUUUGGCCCUAUUCUGGGGUCAGGAACAGGAAUACGAAUUUAAAAAUUAGGAAGAUGUGCCAUGAGAUUUUUUAAAAAAAAUCUCCCAGUAAGGCAAAGCUUUAAAAAGUGGGGGCCAUUCACAAUAUUUCAACCUCAGUUUAACACAUUAAAUAUGUGAAAAAAAUAUAGGUAACCAGGAAAAUAAAUCUCAGUGCUGCUGUUUUUCUAAUGUUGAUGACCAUGUCCAACAAUUUCAAUCUCAGUAGCUGAGGCAUCCUCCCUUUAGGAGCCAUUAAAGCCACCUCCCCAGUGUAAUCUAUCUUUUCUGUCAGAAAUCCUUUUUGCCCUCCAUGUGUAUCUCUGAGUCAUGCUGUCUUUCUCUUUCUGCACCUGUGCCCUGGCUGGGACGCUACGGCAAAUUCCACCUCCUGGGAAUUCCCUGAUUUCCCCAACUCUCAUCACUUCCAGGUCACUUACUGUCAACACCCAUUUGUCCCUGCCCUGGGCUAUCCUUUAAGGUUCAAGCCAACAGCCAAGUGGGCGAGACCUCUUGGAGGCAGAUUGUCCAGGCUCAAUCAAAGCACAGAAGACUGCAGCCUUAGCCAAUGUCUUAGACUGCAGCCUCACACAGGACCUUGAGCCAGAACCAGCCAGCCACUCCUGGAUUCCUGAUGCACAGAAACAGUGCGGAAUACUAAACGUUUAUUGUUUUAAAUAAAGUACUAAGUUUGGGGUAAUUUGUUAUACAGCAAUAAAUAAUGAAUAUAGGUGGUAUCCAGGUGAUAAAGCAAGUUUAAUAUAGAAUUUAUGCAGGUGGUAGGUAUACAGGUGUUCACUGUAGAAGUCAGCUUUGCUGUAUGUAUGAACAUUUUCAUAAUCAAACUUGGCGGGGAAGUGUAGGCUGCAUAAUAUAAAACUGGCAGCUGGAUCAGUCUAGGACACAGCUACAGGAAAGUUUCCUGAAUAAUAAAAUAAAAUGAUUUGAUAGAAGUACCAAGGAAUAUAGUCUUUUGGAAGCAGAUAUCUUUGGAGCAUUUACUACAUACAUUUUAUAGUAUAUGUAUGUAUGUAUAAAGUAGGAUUAGAUGUGUAUGUGCUACUUUAUUUUAUCCCAACUCCCAAUUUUCAAAUAGACACUGAUCUGCCAAUUUCAGUUUUUAUCAGGAAAGGGCACUUCUCAGGAAUGGAAUUACCAUAAUAUCAAAGGUAACCUAUUUCUUCCAAUGAGGCCACCAAACAUCCAUUUGCUACCCCGUGCUCUGUUUGUUCUGUCUGAUUUAGUUCCCAAACUAAUUAGGCUAGCUUAAUUCCCUGCUGCUUUAUCAGCUAAUGGUUAAAGAAACUGAUUAACUUUCACAGUAACAUGCUCAACAUAAAGCUGCAACAAAUGGGUAAUUCUGCACUCCAGAGAAAUCGGACUGGUAAAACCAGUGCUGAUGCCGGUUUGUGCUUUCCUUGCUAUUUACCUAUACUUAACAUCCACCCCUGCAUAUUUUUAUAGUGAAGAGUAUGCUAAAAUUGCUGUUCAUAUCCAACAUCGAGAAUGUAUUUUUACAUAAAUAAUGCAACUAGCCCAGUCUUUUUAUGUAAUGAUAUGAACCAUAAAAAAAUUAUGCAUUCAAUAGAAAUACAGACUCAUUAUUUUCUUCAAAUAUAAACAAACCAAAAUCUGCCUGUCAGUGAUUGGAGCCCACUUUGUUUAUUUUACAGAUAUCAGAGGUGGUCAUCACAAUGUUGACUGAUAAUAAAAGUUACCCUAUUACAAAGCACACAGUAAUGUACUGGAGAUAAGCUUGGAAAAUAUUGACAGUUGGAUUCAGUGUUUAGCAGAGAGUCUUAUUUAUAUUGCAUAUGGAAUCCUCAACACUGGCCAAUACCAACACACCUGGAAGGAGAGGCCCCUGCAGUAUUCACCACAGACAAGCACGAGGUGAGGCGGACUAGGGACUGGCUUGUUUAAUCUUACCUCAUCUGCCUCCUAGUUGGAGAGGACAGAAAGUUAAACACUACAUUUUUCAGGCUCCACACUUUGCAGCUAGAGAUCAGGAUGCGAACCAACUAAAGUCACCUGUGCAAAAUUAGGGAGGAGGAAGUGAAGCAGAGGCCUUCUCUAGGCAGCUUUUGGCUGGCAAGCAAACUAUGGAAUGGGAGGUGGGCUUUUGUUUCAUUUUGUCCAGCUUCAUUGAGGUAUAACUGACAAAUUAAAAUUGUACAAAUUUA